This 66-nucleotide transfer RNA is filed under the name Marmota monax (woodchuck). RNAcentral's name for it is "tRNA.Ala". The stretch from base 5 to 63 matches the Rfam family "tRNA", at positions 7 to 64 of the family's 71-position model. Rfam says of the family: Transfer RNA (tRNA) molecules are approximately 80 nucleotides in length. Their secondary structure includes four short double-helical elements and three loops (D, anti-codon, and T loops). The record is from RNAcentral. Lineage: Eukaryota; Metazoa; Chordata; Mammalia; Rodentia; Sciuridae.
GGUCAUGGCUCAGUGGUAGAGCAUUUGCCUAGCAUGCAUGAGGCCCUGGGUUCAAUCCCUAGUUCG